GCACCCGUAGCUCAAUGGAUAGAGUCCCUGGCUUCGAACCAGGUUGUUGGGAGUUCGAGUCUCUCCGGGUGUGCCA
This 76-nucleotide transfer RNA is filed under the name Tissierella sp. RNAcentral describes it as "tRNA-Arg". It matches the Rfam family "tRNA". Rfam says of the family: Transfer RNA (tRNA) molecules are approximately 80 nucleotides in length. Their secondary structure includes four short double-helical elements and three loops (D, anti-codon, and T loops). Lineage: Bacteria; Bacillati; Bacillota; Tissierellia; Tissierellales; Tissierellaceae. The record is from RNAcentral. RNAcentral also lists the same sequence under 1 other name.